This 411-nucleotide ribosomal RNA is filed under the name uncultured bacterium. RNAcentral describes it as "bacterial SSU rRNA". It matches the Rfam family "Bacterial small subunit ribosomal RNA", at positions 391 to 793 of the family's 1533-position model. The record is from RNAcentral.
GCCAUGCCGCGUGUAUGAAGAAGGCCUUCGGGUUGUAAAGACUUUCAGCAGUGAGGAAGGUGGAGUAUGUUAAUAGCAUAUUCAUUUGACGUUAGCUGCAGAAGAAGCACCGGCUAACUCCGUGCCAGCAGCCGCGGUAAUACGGAGGGUGCGAGCGUUAAUCGGAAUUACUGGGCGUAAAGCGCAUGCAGGUGGUUUGUUAAGUCAGAUGUGAAAGCCCGGGGCUCAACCUCGGAAUUGCAUUUGAAACUGGCAAACUAGAGUACUGUAGAGGGGGUAGAAUUUCAGGUGUAGCGGUGAAAUGCGUAGAGAUCUGAAGGAAUACCGGUGGCGAAGGCGGCCCCCUGGACAGAUACUGACACUCAGAUGCGAAAGCGGUGGGGAGACAAACAGGAUUAGAUACCCUGGUAG